GCUGGGUGCAGUGGCAUGUGCCUGUAGUCCCAGCUACUCGGGAGGCUGAGGUGGGAGGGUCACUUGAGCCCAGGAGUUCUGGGCUGUAGUGUGCUAUGCCGAUCGGGUGUCUGCACUAAGUUUGGCAUCAAUAUGGUGAUCUCCCGGGAGCAGGGGACCACCAGGUUGUCAAAGGAGGGGUGAACCAGCCUGGGUCAGGAACAGAGCAGGUCAAAACUCCCGUGCUGAUCAGUAGUGGGAUCAUGCCUGUGAAUAGCCACUGCACUCCAGUCUGGGCAGCAUAGCAAGACCCCAUCUCU
This 299-nucleotide signal recognition particle RNA is filed under the name Cebus imitator (Panamanian white-faced capuchin). RNAcentral describes it as "Metazoan signal recognition particle RNA (ENSCCAG00000002358.1)". It matches the Rfam family "Metazoan signal recognition particle RNA". Rfam says of the family: The signal recognition particle (SRP) is a universally conserved ribonucleoprotein. It is involved in the co-translational targeting of proteins to membranes. The record is from RNAcentral. Lineage: Eukaryota; Metazoa; Chordata; Mammalia; Primates; Cebidae.